This is a non-coding RNA of Aegilops tauschii subsp. strangulata, 1654 nucleotides long. NCBI's taxonomy places the organism in Eukaryota, Viridiplantae, Streptophyta, Magnoliopsida, Poales, Poaceae. The record is from RefSeq and is a predicted model, not a curated record.
AUCCCCUCGCUUCAACGGCGGCGGCCCCCGUCCUUAACAUUGACAGCCCGAUUCCGGCCAACUCCGGUGCUUUCCCCGGUCUGCCGCUCACGGGAACGGAUCACUUCGCCGCCCCCUACUGAUUCGCCCUGCAGCGGGCCUUCUCCGCCGCCCCGGCGAGCCCCUUGGCCACCGAGGAGACGAGUUGCGCUGCCCGUGGAGCACCUCUCCUGAUUCCUCUCUUCCCUCUCCCGCAUCGGCCGCGGGAGUAGGAGCACGCCGCCUUGCCGCGCGCCGUCGGGCAUGGAUGCGGCCUAGAACUACUUCCGCCCCUGCCGUGCCGUGCGCCGACGGCCAUGGACCAGCCGCGCGAGUAGGAGCACGCUACGGCGGCCGCGCAUGAAUGUGGCCGAGAACUGCUGCCGCCCCUGUACUGCAGCCGCGACGCGCCGCACCUGCCGUGCGCCCCUGUCCUGGGCAUGAUGCUGCUGCCGCUCGGUGCUGCCGCUGGGGCGUGCUGCUGCUUGCCUCUCCGGUCCGCCGGUGCCUCCCGCUCGGGCGGCGUCCCGGGCUGACGGGGACGGGCUGCGUGCGUCUGAGCUGCUGCUCGCGUCGCCUCGCAACCGCUGCUGGACCCGAGGGAGCAGCCGGCUGCGCGCGUCCGGGGGAGCGCCCGAGCAGCUCGCGUUCGAGCUGACGGCUGCAUGCGCGCCCAAGGGAGCAGCUACCUAGUGCAGCGGCAUCAGCUACCCAAUGAAUGCCCACAACUUUUGUUUAUUAGUUUUUUGUCUAUUGCUGGUUGGUGUAAUCUGCAAGAAAGUGACAGAAUAGUCUAUUUAUGAAGUCCAAAGUCCAACAUUCUUUCAAUCCGGAAGAAAGUUAACAAAAGCAUUUCAGCUUGGAACUCUGGAGGUUGGUGCUGCCGAUGUGGCUGCUUAUCAAGCUAGAUACAGAGAGCUUCCAUUUAAUGAUAGAAAAUUUCCUUUGACCAUCAGGGAGCAAAAUCUUUCACAAAGAAGUAUAUGAAAGUCUGAAGUCCCCUUUUGAACAAAAGGUUGAUCAGAAGCGAACCAUGUUGGAUCCAAACAAUUUCAUUGUUCAGGAUACGCCUAAGGAGUAAGGACCUUCGAGCUGAAUGGAUUGAUGCAGAAGACAUUCCAACUGUCAGUGAGCGGCUUGUGCAGAAGAAUAAGAAAUAGAAACCUUCACCCAGGGACACUGCCGGUUCAAGAUGAGCAUGAAGCUGGUACCAAACUACUGUCUCAAGAUACUCCCUCUGUUGACAGUCCGAAUGUUGUUAAUGAUAACGCUGCAAUUGAAGUUCCUCCUUGACAAGCUGACAAGAUAGGUAGCACAAUUUCUCCGACGUAAUCAAGCCCAACAACGGCAUGAACAAAAGGAUGAGUUUGUCCUGAACUUCUUAUAUACCAUUGAUUUAUCAUCAUAUUUUUCAUGUUGAUUGGGUUAUCAAAGUACUUCUAUUUUCUCAUUCUAAUUUGUCACUGGGCAGAUUCUAUAGGCUUAACCAGGAUUAUUGUGUUUCAGCCUUUAUAGAUUAUAUACACUGUAGAGGUUAUCUUAUAUGAUUUACAUGGAUUUAUAGAACAUCAGUCUAAUUUAGAGGCUAUGUGUAGUGCAAAGGAAACUUAAUCUGCGCCAUUGCCCUGUUCUUUUA